This 64-nucleotide transfer RNA is filed under the name Trabala vishnou guttata. Its description in RNAcentral is "tRNA-Met". Lineage: Eukaryota; Metazoa; Arthropoda; Insecta; Lepidoptera; Lasiocampidae. The record is from RNAcentral.
AAAAAUAAGCUAAAUCAAGCCUUUGGGGCCAUACCCCAAAUAUAAAGGAAUAACCUUUUUUUUA